GAAGGAAGUGAUGGCGGGGCAGAGCGAUGCAACUCACAGCUUUAAGCUUUUUUUUUUUUUUUUUUUCAGAAUCCUACUAUCUCUUCAGAUGUGCGGCGAGGCAUCCCAGUCGCUACAGUUCGGAUCCGAAAUGCACGCCAGGAAAACUCCCUCGCCGGAAAACGCUCUCAGCUCCGGAGAGCCGCCCGCGUCCGUGAACGCAUCACAACUUCAGCCGGCGCGCCGGAGAAAGUGAAGCCGGCGCCCGUCGCUGGCUGCCGGGGGGCUGGGAGAAGAUUAGAGGCGUGGAGCUCCCCCCUUUUUUUUUUUUUUUUUUUGGAAGGAAGAUUACAGGCUUGGGCACAUGUGAAGGACACCACAGAAUUAGGAAUUAGGUCAUGCGCGGCGCAACCUACCUGUCGUCUUUAUUAUACUGAACAUUUGUGCCACGAUGACCUUUGGCGCACUUGGAAUAAAGCGGACGCACCUGUGAGGUGCGUUCCUUUGCUUCGAGCGGCGAUGUGGCGUCAUCAACCAAACUACAAUCAGGUUGGCAGGCAAUAAGGCUUGACAGAAGAUGCGACGGGGCCGGUGUUUUAUCAGAUGGCUGGGGACAGGAAUGGCCGUCGUCUAUUUGCUAAACGUGGUCUGGGGCCAAGACACAGACGAGUGCAAGUUGUCCCGGCCCGGCCCCCCAGCGACUAUAGUGACCAUCGACGAGGAAAGCCCCAACGGUACGUCACGACCUUAACCUGACCUUGACUUGCUUUUCCUAGGCUGCUUUUCCUGUGUCUUUUUUUUGUUUUUGUUUUUUUGUUUUUUGGCUGAGGACGAAUACCUUAGGUCAGGGGUCACCAACCUUUUUGAAAGCAAGAGCUACUUCUUGGGUAGUGAUUAAUGCGAAGGGCUACCAGUUUGAUACACACUUAAAUAAAUUGCCAGAAAUAGCCAAUUUGCUCAAUUUACCUUUAACUCUAUGUUAUUAUUAAUAAUUAAUGA
Entelurus aequoreus (snake pipefish) is the source of this 978-nucleotide long non-coding RNA. RefSeq lists it as uncharacterized. The transcript has 4 exons. NCBI's taxonomy places the organism in Eukaryota, Metazoa, Chordata, Actinopteri, Syngnathiformes, Syngnathidae. The record is from RefSeq and is a predicted model, not a curated record.